GUUGACCUCGGAUCAGGUAGGAAUACCCGCUGAACUUAAGCAUAUCAAUAAGCGGAGGAAAAGAAACCAACAGGGAUUGCCUCAGUAACGGCGAGUGAAGCGGCAACAGCUCAAAUUUGAAAUCUGGCCCCAGGCCCGAGUUGUAAUUUGCAGAGGAUGCUUUUGGUGCGGUGCCUUCCAAGUUCCCUAGAACGGGACGCCAGAGAGGGUGAGAGCCCCGUACAGUUGGACACCAAGCCUUUGUAAAGCUCCUUCGACGAGUCGAGUAGUUUGGGAAUGCUGCUCAAAAUGGGAGGUAUAUUUCUUCUAAAGCUAAAUACCGGCCAGAGACCGAUAGCGCACAAGUAGAGUGAUCGAAAGAUGAAAAGCACUUUGAAAAGAGGGUUAAACAGCACGUGAAAUUGUUAAAAGGGAAGCGCUUGUGACCAGACUUGCGUCCGGUGAAUCACCCAGCUCUCGCGGCUGGGGCACUUCGCCGGCUCAGGCCAGCAUCAGCUCGCUGUCGGGGACAAAAGCUUCAGGAACGUAGCUCUCUCCGGGGAGUGUUAUAGCCUGUUGCACAAUACCCUUCGGCGGGCUGAGGUACGCGCUCCGCAAGGAUGCUGGCAUAAUGGUCAUCAGCGAC
RNAcentral lists this ribosomal RNA (625 nucleotides) under Colletotrichum musae. Its description in RNAcentral is "eukaryotic LSU rRNA". It matches the Rfam family "Eukaryotic large subunit ribosomal RNA", at positions 1 to 648 of the family's 3401-position model. Lineage: Eukaryota; Fungi; Ascomycota; Sordariomycetes; Glomerellales; Glomerellaceae. The record is from RNAcentral.